UAUACUCCAUUAUUUAAUUGUGUUGUUUGGU
Molecule: non-coding RNA, 31 nt
Filed under: Mus musculus (house mouse)
Lineage: Eukaryota; Metazoa; Chordata; Mammalia; Rodentia; Muridae
Source: RNAcentral